This 69-nucleotide transfer RNA is filed under the name Chrysomeloidea sp. 2 KM-2017. RNAcentral describes it as "tRNA-Gln". The record is from RNAcentral. Lineage: Eukaryota; Metazoa; Arthropoda; Insecta; Coleoptera.
UACGGUUUAGUAUAUGAUGUACGAGAGUUUUUGAUACUCUGAGAGGCAGUUUGAUUCUGACAAUCGUAG